CUGCUGAUUGUUCCAAAUUCAAUUCUGCUGGUUGUUCAAAUUCCAGCCCACUGUGGUGGGACAGACAACUCUCCCUGUGGGUGCUGGGCAUCCAGGGUGGCCGCAGCAGGGCUGUCCAUCCACAUAUGCUUUUUUCGGGCUAUAACAGAGAAAAGGGGACGGCUGGUGUUUCCGAUCUGCUCAGGGUCCAGAGGGCAGCACUCAGGUAGCCUUCCUCACCCCAGCGUUUAUUAGAUGUGCGCUGCCUGCCCAGGAGAGGUUGCUUUUCAGCCCGAAUUACCCCAUGAGACCGCAGCCUAUGUGGAGGAGGGGACGUUCUUUUGCUGACUCAUCGCCCGCGGCCCUCACCUCUUAAGGGGAUGUUUCUCAUGGGUUUGCCGGUGCCACCUGCAGUUUUGAGCUCAAGGCUCCGCUCUGGGGGCUUCCAGGGUCUCUCUCUUCACAGAACCAGGGCCACUCAGGGGCCUGUGAGGAGGGCCAGGGAGGAAGCAUUUCAAAGUGAAACCCACCCUCUGUAGGGUGCAGGAGAGAGAGACUGAAGGGCAGGCACAGGGGCCGGAGAACUUCCUGGUGGAAAAAGAGAGCCUUCGAGGGUCCUGUUCCAGGGCCAGAGAACGCUGGCCGGGUGAAGCUAAGGUCAGCCUGCUAGAAACCUGGCACCUCUACUAGAGUCAGAGGGACAUGAUUGCUUCAGCUGAUCCUAAGUUGGAAGGGAGAACAAACAUUAGAGAGGCUGUCAGUGAUUUGACAAAGUUACAGCCAUUUGGGGCCACUUGCUGGAUUACUGUUUGGAUGGUCACUUGGGAGAGUGAACCAGCUUCCUCACCUCUGACUUCUCCUGCUUGCUGUAGACAAGGCUUUUGGUGUCUGCGGGUCGGGGUCAGGGUUCUGUCUUUACAUGUGAUGAUCUGGCGACUGUCUGUCUGUAUAUUUAUUCUCUCAGUGACACUUCUGCCAGAGCCUGUGCUGCUCACCUGAAGCCAGUCGGUGCCGGCAGCUGCCCACUGGGAAGGGUGGCAAUGCUUUUGUUCUGCCCCAAGCCCACAUUACUUGGAAGUGUGCUCUGCGUAAUCUGAUAGCAUUUCUGUCUUUCCUGAGUUAGCUGGCUGGAUUGCCUCCUACAGAACAGGUGUUUUGCACCACGAUGGUCUUCAUGUUCAAGAAAGUUGUAAAAAUGCUUUAGAACUAUGAGGGCACCAUGAUUGUUCAGAUUGCAAGAGUCUCUAUUUGAGAGCACCAGACAGGUUCUGGAGAGGUGGGGUAAAGAGUUAAAUUAUGGUAUCUGCUCCAGCCUUUGUGUUACAUAACAGUAUUAACUUUUCUGUGUCCCUGAGUUAACAGCAUAGGGGAGAUGAAGUGUUUCUUCCUGAAGUCACUCUCUGAAUGCAAACCAAAAUUGGAGGAAAACCGUGGGCUAUUUUAAAAUGUAAACUGUGCAAGAAAUAAAUUAUUUCUGAAAGAGUUCUAUUGAGAAGCUCCAACCUGAUGAGCUUUUGGCCUAGUUUCAGGAACAGAUGAGCCACAAGAAGGCGUGCACCCCAGCACCGGUGAGUUGAGCAGUUUCACCUUUGCCACUGACAAGCAGACAACCUAGGCUUGCACAUAUUUAUAGCAAGACACAGCCCAGCAAUUUAGAAAAUCUAAGGGGAGACAUUCGUAGAAGGUGCUGCACUAAAAAAAAAAGUAAAUUAGUGAAAUUUUAACAAGAACUGGAGUUCUGAAGCUUCUGCACACUUACCGUUUCUAGUAAACAUGUUAUCAUGCAGGAAGCUUGGCUGGCCCCAGAGGGAGCUGAGUCCUCUCCCCUGCAGCAGGACCUGCUGGGUUCCUGACAGGCCGAGACCAUCCUGGGCCGUGGCCGGGGAUGGGGACCCCAUGCGUGGCUGUGAGCUGCUCAGGGGACACCUGGUGCCGGCUGUGAGGAAAUCAGUCAGGCCUGAUUGGUCCUCGGAGAGUGUAUAGCUGUUAACCCUACCCGGGGUCCCAUGGUGCUGAAGUUCUGGGACCCCGCGAGCACAGAGUGGGACACUUGUCGGGCAGACCCAGCUCCUUGCAGAUGUUGGGGCCAGGACUUCCCAGAGGAGGAGGCAGUGGCGGAUAGAGGACGAGCAGGGAGUGCUCUCCGAGUCCUCACCAGCACACUGCUCUCUGUCUGGUAUACUGCAACUUGAAGAUUUUCUUCUGAAGUCCGGCACUGCAGAUGUGGGGACCGGGUGAUGAGCCAGACCUCUGCCUUCUGCACGGCGCUGGACCCUGGCUCUCGUCCCCAGUCCAGGCGAGUGCAUUUCUGAAUUCUGGGUCUUGCUUAUCUAUUAAGCCAGACGCUUUCUUUCCUGAAGACGUUACUAGCUGAUGACAAAUCCCGGGCCGAAUAUUUAUAGUGCUUAUCUCCAUCGAGUCAGCUCUGUCCUGCCGUGCCCAGGAGGCCAGAACCUCUUCAAAUCCUGAUUCGAGUGUCUGAUGCUGUGACCUGCUCGCUCCGCCUGGUGCCACGUGAAGAUCUCAGUGUCGUGAAACCCUCUUGUUCGUCUGCAGGCAACGCUGAUAAAAAUACCGAUAGUAGCCUGGCUCUAUGUGGGAGCCGUAGCUUUGGUUUUACCAGGCACAGCGGUGAGCUUCGCUGAGCCUUAUCGGAAAGGGACAGCAGCCCUGGAUGUGCUGCCCACCUAUUCACAUGCACACCCCGGGGCAGCAGCGUCUCACAGUGAAAUCUGCCCUUCCUCCACUGCGAUGAACGAAAUGCUUAGGAAAACACACAUUUCUCCUGCACACUUGGGACUCACAGCAGCAGACACGAAAGGGCAAUGGUUUAGGCUCGUUUAUGAUGAGCCCUAGGGUUUGCCUGCCUGAUGGAGUUACACUGUCCUUGGUGUGCACAAUGGUCAGGGUGGAGGCCGGGUCACGGCAUCUGGUUUAGUGUAAGGAGCUGUGCACACAGGCAAGUGCAUGCUGUGAGCCUAUGGCAUGGUGAGUGUGUAAGUGCAGUUUCUGAGAAUGUUUUAUAGUAAAAGAUGCAUUGCCAUGAAUCCCCCACAGAAUCCUCCCCUCACUGUGAACACACUCCCCCCGUCGUCCUUGCCACUUUCUGCAGCAGCUCUGGUGUCCUCUUUCCUGAGGGUCUUUACCAGAUGUGAUAAAAAGAAAUACAAUGAUGUCGGCUGAGCGCCAUCCCACAGAAAGGCGAGCUCUAAAAUAUGACGCUGUGUCCUCAUUCAUCUUAGUCGCAAAAUCUGACUGCUUCUGGCGCUGCUCAAAGUCAAAAUGACCAUGAAAUGGAAAUAGUUUGAAUGUGCUCAGGACAUGGAGGCUGCCGGGACAGUGCAUCUAAUGAUACUCAAGAAAAGGACUCCAGAGCUGCUGCAGGGAUUGGCCAGGACCAUGGGAUAAACAUGCUCCAAGAGGUGGGGAGAAUCUCCAGGGGGAUGCAUGGGAAUACGUCUACUACUAUAACACAUCUAUUAAAAAUUUAAAUAUUGCUUAUACUUGUUACCACAAUUGUUAAGGUGACGUGUUGGCACAUGAUGUCAGACAGAGUUUUGGUGUCUUAGGAAACAUCCUCAGUGGAUCAUGUCCUCCUGGCGAUCUGGCUUCUGCCUGGAACGGGAGUACCUUAGCCUCCUGGUGGAGGUGCAGCAUGGUGUAGGCCCUGGCAACAAGUCAGUCCCUGCCCUGUUAGGUGGUGACUGGUCUGCAUGGCUACGGGGAGGGGCUUGUGCGGGGAUGGACGUGCAAUCACACACCCGCCGCUCUGGACCCGCACUGGGCAGACAGUGUGGGCCUGGCACCAUGCUACAGAAGUCUCUUAAAAACACACACUCACAGAGUCACAGCUCGUUGGACUCUCGCUGUCUGUUUACCUGACUAGCAAGACCGCCAGGGUUCUGCCUAUUCUUGUGUGACUCUGACCCAGCUUGGGGCCAGAUGUCCUCUGUCUAGGACCGGUAGCAUACACCACAGUUCCCUCUCCUCAGAGAAUUUGAUUUUCUGUUUCCUAGCCAUCCCUCCACCCCCAGAACUGUUUUCAGUUUUGUAUGUGCUCCUUGCACUGUAGGGGCCAGUAACCACACUGUUUACUGGGGGUGUCUCCGGGAAGCCUCCUACGUAGACUCACUCCUCUCGUGAGGGAAUCAAAGAAAAGAGUGUCUGGAGAUCAUUUCUCAUGUUCUCAAAGUCUGAUCACAACGCCUUCAUGACUGCUUGCUACUUCACCCUCUCAUGUCAGCAGUUCUGUUGAAAUAUGUCUCAAAGUCUUUCUCUUCUUUCUUGUUUAUAAGACAAAUAUCUGGCAAUAUUUACCAUACCCUUGUCCAUAAUGGCAAUAGACACUCUUUUAACUAAGAAUUUUUUUCUGAUUAUGAAUGCAAACUUUAUUAAAAUUAGAAGUGUAGGAAAAAUCCACUAUUAAAGGUACCACCCUAAUACUACUGAGUUUUGAUGUCAUUCAAUGACAUUUUCAGUGUAUACUUAUUUUCAGUUAUCAUCAUGUCAUAUCUAUAAUUUUUGGCAAUACUGGGGAGGUUGACCCCAGGACCUUUGAACUGAGCUACAUCUUCUUCUAUUUUCAUUUUUUUUAUUUUGAGAGAGUCUAGCUAUAUUGCUACAUUGCCCAACUUGAGUUUAAACUUGGGAUCCUCCUCUCCUGCUUUAGCCUUCCUCUUUGCUGGGACUGUAGUAUGUGCCACCAUGCCUGGCUUACAUAUGUUAUCUACCAUUUCAUACUCUCCAAAUUACCUGCUCUGUGUUAUAUGAACAUCAAGUAAAAAUUACUAUAGGGUCUAUUGUUCAUAAUGUUUCUUAUGCCUUUGAUGUAAAGGUUUCUGCUCUCUAUUUCUCUUGCAUUAUUUCCUCAAGAUAAAGUCAAAAAAGCAUUAUUGCUGUAUGGAGGGGACAGUUUUAAGGUUCUUGAUACAUAUUUCCA
Molecule: long non-coding RNA, 4918 nt
Organism: Fukomys damarensis (Damara mole-rat)
Lineage: Eukaryota; Metazoa; Chordata; Mammalia; Rodentia; Bathyergidae
Exons: 4
Source: RefSeq, a predicted model, not a curated record